GACGAACGCUGGCGGCGUGCCUAAUACAUGCAAGUAGAACGCUGAAGAGAGGAGCUUGCUCUUCUUGGAUGAGUUGCGAACGGGUGAGUAACGCGUAGGUAACCUGCCUUGUAGCGGGGGAUAACUAUUGGAAACGAUAGCUAAUACCGCAUAACAAUGGAUGACACAUGUCAUUUAUUUGAAAGGUGCAAUUGCUCCACUACAAGAUGGACCUGCGUUGUAUUAGCUAGUAGGUGAGGUAAUGGCUCACCUAGGCGACGAUACAUAGCCGACCUGAGAGGGUGAUCGGCCACACUGGGACUGAGACACGGCCCAGACUCCUACGGGAGGCAGCAGUAGGGAAUCUUCGGCAAUGGGGGCAACCCUGACCGAGCAACGCCGCGUGAGUGAAGAAGGUUUUCGGACCGUAAAGCUCUGUUGUAAGUCAAGAACGGGUGUGAGAGUGGAAAGUUCACACUGUGACGGUAGCUUACCAGAAAGGGACGGCUAACUACGUG
RNAcentral lists this ribosomal RNA (497 nucleotides) under uncultured bacterium. RNAcentral's name for it is "partial 16S ribosomal RNA". It matches the Rfam family "Bacterial small subunit ribosomal RNA", at positions 28 to 507 of the family's 1533-position model. The record is from RNAcentral.